RNAcentral lists this ribosomal RNA (253 nucleotides) under uncultured bacterium. RNAcentral describes it as "partial 16S ribosomal RNA". It matches the Rfam family "Bacterial small subunit ribosomal RNA", at positions 524 to 776 of the family's 1533-position model. The record is from RNAcentral.
UACGUAGGGGGCAAGCGUUGUCCGGAAUCAUUGGGCGUAGAGCGCGUGUAGGCGGCCCGAUAAGUCCGCUGUGAAAGUCCAGGGCUCAACCCUGGGAUGCCGGUGGAUACUGUCGGGCUCGAGUCCGGAAGAGGCGAGUGGAAUUCCUGGUGUAGCGGUGAAAUGCGCAGAUAUCAGGAGGAACACCAAUGGCGAAGGCAGCUCGCUGGGACGUGACUGACGCUGAGACGCGAAAGCGUGGGGAGCAAACAGG